CAUUGGACAAUUCUGGUAGAAUCAUGGGGAAACCAGGAGGCUAACAGAAAUUUAGGCAGUGAAGUCUGGCUCUCCAAGUUUUGGCUGGCAACUGGACUACGGGCCAUUCAUGGAACAUUCUAGAAAAGAACGCAGCUGCAUUCUGCAGCAUCCUGAGAAUUUGAGUGAGGCUAAAUUUGAACGUAAUGGACUAAUUUGUUCUGGGGAAGGAAUUUUAAGGCUUUACAGCAUCUGGGCUGAAGUGUGGUUACUACUGACUACGCUGCUCUGCUCUCAAGUAUCCAGUGAGAGAGAGGAGGCAGAGCAGAAAGGUAUUAAAAAAUGUAGUUUGGUAGGAAAAGGAGUGUUAACAAAGUGAAAGUUGCAGACAUGGCAGAUGUGGGAAAAACAAGUGUUUAACGGUUAGAGAUUAUUACAGAGGAACCUCCCACUCCUCACUGGGUGUGUCUGAGUUAGAGUUAACUGAGCAUCAGAGGUGCGAUGUCAUGAUUAAAACUGAUAUGCUCGGGUAUCAAGCUGAGAAAGGGCAGAAGGAUGAUUGUUAGUCUGAAUCAUUAACUUCGAAGUCCUGAGAAUCACCUAGGAGACACACCUCUAGACGCCUGUGAGGCCACUUCCUAGGAGGUAAACUGAAGAGGAGAGGCGAUCCACCCCUAACACAGGCGGCAGCAUCUCAUGAACUACAGGCUGGGAUGGAGAACAAGGAAGCCAGAUGAUGAGUUUGUGAAAUGAGGAAGAAAAAAGCCAUUCCCAAGAUCUGGUGACAGGAGCUUCCGGCAACGACCCUGACCCCUAUCGUCAUAUAAGAGUACUCCUUUCAUCUGUGAACAAAGAAUUUAACCUAACUGGCACCUCAUUUACUACAUGCCAAGAACAAGCCAAAUCAGCCUUUCAAGUGGCUUUUUUCCUGUAAGCUUUACUUCUAGGAGUCAAAGGAACCCCAGGAAACCAAAAACUUAACUGACAUCUACAAAGCGUAAAGGCUUUCUUUCUGGGCAUUUCAAAGGGACUUCUGAACUGUACAGGCUCCAUGGACCUCACCUCCACG
Molecule: non-coding RNA, 1048 nt
Organism: Peromyscus maniculatus bairdii (prairie deer mouse)
Lineage: Eukaryota; Metazoa; Chordata; Mammalia; Rodentia; Cricetidae
Source: RefSeq, a predicted model, not a curated record